Molecule: ribosomal RNA, 903 nt
Filed under: uncultured bacterium
Lineage: Bacteria
Description: bacterial SSU rRNA
Rfam family: Bacterial small subunit ribosomal RNA
Source: RNAcentral
AGAGUUUGAUCAUGGCUCAGAACGAACGCUGGCGGCGUGGAUUAGGCAUGCAAGUCGAACGAUCCCGCAAGGGAUAGUGGCGAAAGGGUGCGUAACACGUGGGCAAUCUGCCCUCGAAACGGGAAUAACUUCGGGAAACCGAAGCUAAUACCUGAUGACACCGAGCUGCCGCAUGGUGGCACGGUGAAAGGCGUCCGCAAGGGUGCCGAUCGGGGAUGAGCCCGCGGCCUAUCAGCUAGUUGGUGAGGUAACGGCCCACCAAGGCGAUGACGGGUAGCCGGCCUGAGAGGGUGGUCGGCCACAUUGGGACUGAGACACUGCCCAGACUCCUACGGGAGGCUGCAGUCGAGGAUCUUCCGCAAUGGGGGAAACCCUGACGGAGCGACGCCGCGUGGAGGAUGAAGGCCUUCGGGUCGUAAACUCCUGUCAGUCUGGAAGAAAAUCUGCAGCAAUGUGGAUUGACCGUACAGGCAGAGGAAGCUCCGGCUAACUCCGUGCCAGCAGCCGCGGUAAUACGGAGGGAGCGAGCGUUGUUCGGAAUCAUUGGGCGUAAAGGGCAUGUAGGCGGCUCUGUAAGUCGGGUGUGAAAUCCCAUCUCUCAAGGGUGGAACGGCAUUCGAAACUGCAGGGCUUGAGUUCGGGGGAAGAGAGUGGAAUUCUCGGUGUAGCGGUGAUAUGCGUAGAUAUCGAGAAGAACACCAGCGGCGUAAGCGGCUCUCUAUCCUGAAACUGACGCUGAGGUGCGAGAGCCAGGGGAGCGAACGGGAUUAGGUACCCCGGUAGUCCUGGCCAUAAACGAUGUGCACUUGGUGUUGGGCCGCGAGGCUCAGUGCCGAAGCUAACGCAUUUAGUGCACCGCCUGGGGAGUACGACCGCAAGGUUGAAACUCAAAGGAAUUGACGG